AGAGGCCAGUAUAGGGCACUAGGGAAACACAGUAUUUGCAGUGAAUAAAUCCACUUCCCCUUUUCAAUACCUUUAUCAGUUGCAAUAGAGUACUUUCCCCGUUGAUACUUUCGCUUUCCGUUUAACACCCGGUUAACAUACACGUCAGUGUGCAGAUGCAUGAUGGUCACUGCUAUCUUAGGCUCCCGAGUUGCGCAACGGUCUGAGGCACCCGCAUCUCAGUGCUUGAGGCGUCACUACAUACAACCCUGGUUUGAAUCCAGGCUGUAUCACAACCGUCCCCGUGAUUGUAAAACUAUAUGUUGCUGUAGCAUCUCUAUAGAAACUGUAUAGAUGACAACAACAACAACCUAAUCGUUAUCGAGCUGGAGCUAGCUUAGAGCAUCAGGCUAGCUGUGUGCAGACCAAUCAAUCCCUGGCCUUACAGUGCUAUAGGGUCCUGUAUGUUAGUGUAAAUGCGUAGAGCCUCCACUCUGCAUGGUGUUCUAAUCUAGGAGGUGAGUGUUAGCUUUAGCUGUGUGUUAGCAUGUUAGUGUAAAUGCGUAGAGCCUCCACUCUGCAUGGUGUUCUAUUCUAGGAGGUGAGUGUUAGCUUUAGCUGUGUGUUAGCAUGUUAGUGUAAAUGCGUAGAGCCUCCACUCUGCAUGGUGUUCUAUUCUAGGAGGUGAGUGUUAGCUUUAGUUGUGUGUUAGCAUGUUAGUGUAAAUGCGUAGAGCCUCCACUCUGCAUGGUGUUCUAUUCUAGGAGGUGAGUGUUAGCUUUAGCUGUGUGUUAGCAUGUUAGUGUAAAUGCGUAGAGCCUCCACUCUGCAUGGUGUUCUAUUCUAGGAGGUGAGUGUUAGCUUUAGUUGUGUGUUAGCAUGUUAGUGUAAAUGCGUAGAGCCUCCACUCUGCAUGGUGUUCUAUUCUAGGAGGUGAGUGUUAGCUUUAGUUGUGUGUUAGCAUGUUAGUGUAAAUGCGUAGAGCCUCCACUCUGCAUGGUGUUCUAUUCUAGGAGGUGAGUGUUAGCUUUAGUUGUGUGUUAGCAUGUUAGUGUAAAUGCGUAGAGCCUCCACUCUGCAUGGUGUUCUAUUCUAGGAGGUGAGUGUUAGCUUUAGUUGUGUGUUAGCAUGUUAGUGUAAAUGCGUAGAGCCUCCACUCUGCAUGGUGUUCUAUUCUAGGAGGUGAGUGUUAGCUUUAGCUGUGUGUUAGCAUGUUAGUGUAAAUGUGUAGAGCCUCCACCCUGCAUGGUGUUAGCUUUAGCUGUGGGAAGUAGGGCUGCAGAGGGUGCUGCAACACCCUCUGAAAAAUCUGAUAACAAAAAAUAAAAAAAAUAAUAUUAAUUUUGAAAAUAAAUUUAAAUAAUUAUUUUUUUCUCACAAAAGUAGCGCAGAUAAUAUCUGUCUGCAGCGUGGGUAAAAAGACUACUAAACUACUUCCACCGGCUAUGAGUGUAUGGAGUGUGUAAUGAGUGUGUAAUGAGUGUGUAAUGAGUGUGUAAUGAGUGUGUAAUGAAUGUUACCAGACUAGGUGUGGGGAAAGGAAACCCUGUAUGGCAUGCUAGGUUAGAGUGGAACCCCAUCCCCCUUGUGUGUUAGGCUGCAUGCUAACCCUGGGUGUGGGGGGGGAUUUGUGUGUUUAAUCAAGGCCUCCUCUCUAACCCAAGUAAGCCAGGGACAGCUGUUGUGACAGGCAGAGAGAUAGACAGCUCUGUAAUUACACCGGGAGGAACCAGAUUCCUGCAGGAAGGCUAUAUACCUGUUGCUCCUACCUCCUCCACACUGAAAUACAAACGUACAGUUCAUUCGGGAAAAGUAUUCAGACGUGUUGACUUUGUUCCACAUUUUGUUACGUUACAGACAUAUUCUAAAAGGAAUAAUAAGAAAUAAAAAGUAGCUCAUCUAUCUACACACAAUGAAUCAUCUAUCUAGCCCCAUAAUGACAAACAAAAAAAUUUUUUUUUUUGACAGACAGACGGACAUAACAGACACACAGAACAGACAGACAGAACAGACAGACA
This is a long non-coding RNA of Oncorhynchus keta (chum salmon), 1997 nucleotides long. RefSeq lists it as uncharacterized. The transcript has 3 exons. The record is from RefSeq and is a predicted model, not a curated record. NCBI's taxonomy places the organism in Eukaryota, Metazoa, Chordata, Actinopteri, Salmoniformes, Salmonidae.